Molecule: ribosomal RNA, 132 nt
Filed under: Danio rerio (zebrafish)
Lineage: Eukaryota; Metazoa; Chordata; Actinopteri; Cypriniformes; Danionidae
Source: RNAcentral
UGCAACAGUUACUGCUUUAACUUGAAAAAAUUUUAUUGACUGUUCAAUAUUCCGGUUGCUCACUGAAGCUGAGUUGAGCCUGGUCAGUACCUGGAUGGGCGACCACAUGGGAAAGCUAGGUUGCUGUUGGAA